AAGGCGAGGCCGAAAGCGUAGUCGAUGGGAAACGGGUUAAUAUUCCCGUACUUCUUACAAUUGCGAUGGGGGGGGACGGAGAAGGCUAGGUGGGCCUGGCGACGGUUGUCCAGGUUCAAGUGUGUAGGCUGAAGAGUUAGGUAAAUCCGGCUCUUCUUAAGGCUGAGACACGACGUCGAGCUACUACGGUAGUGAAGUCAUUGAUGCCAUGCUUCCAGGAAAAGCCUCUAAGCUUCAGAUUGUAAGGAAUCGUACCCCAAACCGACACAGGUGGUCGGGUAGAGAAUACCAAGGCGCUUGAGAGAACUCGGGUGAAGGAACUAGGCAAAAUGGUACCGUAACUUCGGGAGAAGGUACGCUCUCGACGGUGAAGUCCCUUGCGGAUGGAGCUAUUGAGAGUCGCAGAUACCAGGUGGCUGCAACUGUUUAUUAAAAACACAGCACUGUGCAAAAUCGUAAGAUGACGUAUACGGUGUGACGCCUGCCCGGUGCCGGAAGGUUAAUUGAUGGGGUUAGACUUCGGUCGAAGCUCUUGAUCGAAGCCCCGGUAAACGGCGGCCGUAACUAUAACGGUCCUAAGGUAGCGAAAUUCCUUGUCGGGUAAGUUCCGACCUGCACGAAUGGCGUAAUGAUGGCCACGCUGUCUCCACCCGAGACUCAGUGAAAUUGAAAUCGCUGUGAAGAUGCAGUGUACCCGCGGCUAGACGGAAAGACCCCGUGAACCUUUACUACAGCUUGGCACUGAACAUUGACCCUACAUGUGUAGGAUAGGUGGGAGGCUUUGAAACCAGCACGCCAGUGUUGGUGGAGCCGUCCUUGAAAUACCACCCUUGUAGUGUUGAUGUUCUAACGUCGACCCCUUAUCGGGGUUACGGACAGUGCCUGGUGGGUAGUUUGACUGGGGCGGUCUCCUCCCAAAGCGUAACGGAGGAGCACGAAGGUGGGCUAAUCACGGUUGGACAUCGUGAGGUUAGUGCAAUGGCAUAAGCCGCUUGACUGCGAGAAUGACAAUUCGAGCAGGUGCGAAAGCAGGUCAUAGUGAUCCGGUGGUUCUGAAUGGAAGGGCCAUCGCUCAACGGAUAAAAGGUACUCCGGGGAUAACAGGCUGAUACCGCCCAAGAGUUCAUAUCGACGGCGGUGUUUGGCACCUCGAUGUCGGCUCAUCACAUCCUGGGGCUGAAGUCGGUCCCAAGGGUAUGGCUGUUCGCCAUUUAAAGUGGUACGCGAGCUGGGUUUAGAACGUCGUGAGACAGUUCGGUCCCUAUCUGCCGUGGGCGUUGGAAGAUUGAAGGGGGCUGCUCCUAGUACGAGAGGACCGGAGUGGACGAACCUCUGGUGUUCGGGUUGUGUCGCCAGACGCAUUGCCCGGUAGCUAAGUUCGGAAUCGAUAACCGCUGAAAGCAUCUAAGCGGGAAGCGAGCCUGA
RNAcentral lists this ribosomal RNA (1425 nucleotides) under Vibrio rotiferianus CAIM 577 = LMG 21460. RNAcentral describes it as "bacterial LSU rRNA". It matches the Rfam family "Bacterial large subunit ribosomal RNA", at positions 1393 to 2801 of the family's 2925-position model. Lineage: Bacteria; Pseudomonadati; Pseudomonadota; Gammaproteobacteria; Vibrionales; Vibrionaceae. The record is from RNAcentral.